AGAAGAUUGGGAUGUUAACAUCACAAGAAUGUAUUGAGUCAUUUCCGCAUCAUCUUAACCACACUAUGACAACACUAGCUUUUCUUUGAUGCUGUUUCCAGGUGUAAGUACAGAGCUGGGGUUGGGAGAGACUGGUAGCUUCCUGUAUAUAUGAAAUACAGGAUACAAUUUAAAAUGGCUGUUUGUGAAUUCAUAAAUGUAAGUAAUUGGAACAAAGCUCAAAACUCUCUUUUUUGUUUAAUUCUUCUACAGGCUACACACAAGUCCAAAAGGGAUAGAACUUUGUGACUAUUUUUGACAGUGUCGAGUGGCCCCUCAUCUUUGGGCAUUUUGGAGCAGAUAGGGACAUAGCAACAUAGCUGUACAAGCUGAAUCUGCUACGUCUUCAAUAUAAUUUCCUAAUUAUGACUUUUUUCUUCCUUCGUAGAAAGAUCCACAUAUCCUCUAUGAAGCAGCGGGUAGAAGAAACAAUGGCAGCGGCAGCUUUUUAAAAAGAGAGAGAACAUUCACAAACGUGAAGACUUUGUGUGGGAAAAUAUGUCUUUCCAAAUUCAAAAGAAUGAGUAUUUGGAACAUUGAUCGUUCUGCCUCUCUAUAGCUUUUCAAAUAGUCCCACAGAUUUCAAAUGUGUUUAAUGAAUCAGGAAUAGAGCUAAAUGAAAGAGCCUUAUUUGACUGAGAGAUUAAAGAGAAAUUGCAAUUUGUUUUACAAAACAGUGAGAACAUCAAGGAGUACUCACAACAACUGCCAGUGCCUCUUGGGAUCAAAUAAUUUGGAAGCAUGAAGUGCCCAAAGAACAAGAGAGGAAGCAAUUUGCAGGAAGGAGUUUGCUACUUUGCAAGAAAUUUAUUAGAAUACCAGUUCUCAGGGGGAAAGACUUCUAAGAAUUCAGGGCAAUUAGACUGUGUUUUCAAAAAAUGUUUUGGACAGGGAAUAUAAUAAAAUAAUCCAGUAUCUGCCACUCAUCACUCGGU
RNAcentral lists this long non-coding RNA (974 nucleotides) under Podarcis lilfordi (Lilford's wall lizard). The record is from RNAcentral. Lineage: Eukaryota; Metazoa; Chordata; Lepidosauria; Squamata; Lacertidae.